UGGUUCCACUUAAAAUAUAUAGCGCUUUAAACAGGCUACUUGGAGGUAUUGAUCUUAAGGUGGUACUUUGCUUUUCAUAAAAAGGGAAUUUUAAAAAAAUCUAUAAAAUGUAUAGAGAUUUAUGCUACAACAUUAUUAUAAUGUUACUAAAAUAAUUGUUGGUUUGUUUUUCUGUUUUAUAGGGAAAACCUAUGAAAAGGAUGGGAACACUUUUGAAUGCAGGCCCUACACCUUAUACAUUAUCCUGAACAGUCCCAGGUUCACAGCUUCAAGAAAUAUUGCUGUGAGGCAAGUUCCUUUACCCCAGGUCCUCUGAAGUUGCCAUCUCUCCAGAAUUUAUGGAUCAAGAUGCUUUAUCCAACUUCUCUUCAACGCAUGGUUCCAGGUUAGUGGAC
RNAcentral lists this long non-coding RNA (395 nucleotides) under Dasypus novemcinctus (nine-banded armadillo). Its description in RNAcentral is "lncRNA (ENSDNOG00000052991.1)". The record is from RNAcentral. Lineage: Eukaryota; Metazoa; Chordata; Mammalia; Cingulata; Dasypodidae.